Molecule: transfer RNA, 62 nt
Filed under: Trogoderma variabile
Lineage: Eukaryota; Metazoa; Arthropoda; Insecta; Coleoptera; Dermestidae
Description: tRNA-Arg
Source: RNAcentral
AAGUAAGAAGCAAAAAUUGCGUUUAGUUUCGACCUAAAAAUAUGAUACAUUAUCCUUACUUU